GAUGAACGCUGGCGGCGUGCCUAAUACAUGCAAGUCGAGCGAACAGACGAGGAGCUUGCUCCUCUUACGUUAGCGGCGGACGGGUGAGUAACACGUGGAUAACCUACCUAUAAGACUGGGAUAACUUCGGGAAACCGGAGCUAAUACCGGAUAAUAUAUUGAACCGCAUGGUUCAGUAGUGAAAGACGGUUUUGCUGUCACUUAUAGAUGGAUCCGCGCCGCAUUAGCUAGUUGGUAAGGUAACGGCUUACCAAGGCAACGAUGCGUAGCCGACCCGAGAGGGUGAUCGGCAACGCUGGAACUGAGACACGGCCCAGACUACUACGGGAGGCAGCAGUAGGGAAUCUUCCGCAAUGGGCGAAAGCCUGACGGAGCAACGCCGCGUGAGUGAUGAAGGUCUUCGGAUCGUAAAACUCUGUUAUUAGGGAAGAAAAAAUGUGUAAGUACCUAUGCACGUCUUGACGGUACCUAAUCAGAAAGCCACGGCUAACUACGUG
This 497-nucleotide ribosomal RNA is filed under the name uncultured bacterium. RNAcentral describes it as "partial 16S ribosomal RNA". It matches the Rfam family "Bacterial small subunit ribosomal RNA", at positions 28 to 507 of the family's 1533-position model. The record is from RNAcentral.